AGUGAACGCUGGCGGUAGGCCUAACACAUGCAAGUCGAACGGCAGCACAGUAAGAGCUUGCUCUUACGGGUGGCGAGUGGCGGACGGGUGAGGAAUACAUCGGAAUCUACUUUUUCGUGGGGGAUAACGUAGGGAAACUUACGCUAAUACCGCAUACGACCUACGGGUGAAAGCAGGGGAUCUUCGGACCUUGCGCGAUUGAAUGAGCCGAUGUCGGAUUAGCUAGUUGGCGGGGUAAAGGCCCACCAAGGCCACGAUCCGUAGCUGGUCUGAGAGGAUGAGCAGCCGCACUGGAACUGAAACACGGUCCAGACUCCUACGGGAGGCAGCAGUGGGGAAUAUUAGACAAUGGGCGCAAGCCUGAUCCAGCCAUACCGCGUGGGUGAAGAAGGCCUUCGGGUUGUAAAGCCCUUUUGUUGGGAAAGAAAAGCAGCAGGUUAAUACCCCGCUGUUCUGACGGUACCCAAAGAAUAAGCACCGGCUAACUUCGUG
RNAcentral lists this ribosomal RNA (492 nucleotides) under uncultured bacterium. RNAcentral's name for it is "partial 16S ribosomal RNA". It matches the Rfam family "Bacterial small subunit ribosomal RNA", at positions 29 to 507 of the family's 1533-position model. The record is from RNAcentral.